CUGACGACCGGCGCACGGGUGAGUAACACGUAUGAAACCUGCCCGUAGCAGGGGGAUAAGCGGAAGAAAUUCCGUCUAAUACCGCGUAACAACCCAUGGAGGCAUCUCUGUGGGUUUAAAGGAAGCGAUUCCGGCUACGGAUGGUCAUGCGUCGCAUUAGCUUGUUGGCGGGGUAACGGCCCACCAAGGCGACGAUGCGUAGGGGUUCUGAGAGGAAGGUCCCCCACACUGGUACUGAGACACGGACCAGACUCCUACGGGAGGCAGCAG
This 270-nucleotide ribosomal RNA is filed under the name uncultured bacterium. RNAcentral describes it as "partial 16S ribosomal RNA". It matches the Rfam family "Bacterial small subunit ribosomal RNA", at positions 88 to 354 of the family's 1533-position model. The record is from RNAcentral.